This 253-nucleotide ribosomal RNA is filed under the name uncultured bacterium. Its description in RNAcentral is "partial 16S ribosomal RNA". It matches the Rfam family "Bacterial small subunit ribosomal RNA", at positions 524 to 776 of the family's 1533-position model. The record is from RNAcentral.
UACGGGGGGGGCAAGCGUUGUUCGGAAUUACUGGGCGUAAAGCGCACGUAGGCGGCUUGUUAAGUCAGGGGUGAAAUCCUGGAGCUCAACUCCAGAACUGCCUUUGAUACUGGCGAGCUUGAGUCCGGGAGAGGUGAGUGGAACUGCGAGUGUAGAGGUGAAAUUCGUAGAUAUUCGCAAGAACACCAGUGGCGAAGGCGGCUCACUGGCCCGGUACUGACGCUGAGGUGCGAAAGCGUGGGGAGCAAACAGG